CUUGCUCAAGGGUCUCACAUCAGUCAUGGUAUUAAAGGUGGAAGAGAGCACUGUACAUUCACUUCUCUCAACUUCAAUCCCUGGUAACAGAUAAAAAAUAAUGUAAUGAAAUAUUUCCAGCUUCAUAUGUUGCUUAAAAAUACAUUUCUUUCAUCAAACUACACAUAUUUGUGUGAACGGCCUUCAAAGAAGAAGAAGCCCUGUGUCUCCAGAUCGUGUAAUAACAACAUCCACCAGCAGAGGAGAUCAUGGACCGGAAGAGAAGAGAGAAAACAACACACACCAUGAGACAUGAUCACACAAGAGCUGUCCUUCAGAUAUUAUAUAUCAUCUCAAAACAGAGGAUUUAAUAACCUUCACUAUGAAAUCAGGAUCUUUUCGGCUCCUGAGAGCUUCAGUUUCUGAAAGCACUGUUUAUCAGCAUUUGUUUUAACAGAUACUCAUUAAAUCACACUGUGUUUGAAGGUUAACGUAUCUCUGUACACUUACAGUUCUUCUCUCUCAUAUAAUUUUAAAUUAUCACUUGCUAAUAUAUUCACAUAAAAUAGCUGUUUUGUUGAUGUGAAUGAUUCAGAUUGUUGUACUGAACUCAUCUCUUGCUGAAAUCUUCUCUUGUGGUGAUUCAGUGACUGAUGAAGCUGAUGUCUGUGGUUUAGUCGGUGUGUGGAGUUUGAUGAUGGUUUGUAGGAGGAAAA
This is a long non-coding RNA of Carassius carassius (crucian carp), 695 nucleotides long. RefSeq lists it as uncharacterized. The record is from RefSeq and is a predicted model, not a curated record. The transcript is spliced from 2 exons. NCBI's taxonomy places the organism in Eukaryota, Metazoa, Chordata, Actinopteri, Cypriniformes, Cyprinidae.